RNAcentral lists this ribosomal RNA (599 nucleotides) under uncultured Sulfurospirillum sp. RNAcentral's name for it is "bacterial SSU rRNA". It matches the Rfam family "Bacterial small subunit ribosomal RNA", at positions 917 to 1519 of the family's 1533-position model. The record is from RNAcentral. Lineage: Bacteria; Pseudomonadati; Campylobacterota; Epsilonproteobacteria; Campylobacterales; Sulfurospirillaceae.
GGACCCGCACAAGCGGUGGAGCAUGUGGUUUAAUUCGAAGAUACACGAAGAACCUUACCUGGCCUUGAUAUCCUAAGAAUCCUGUAGAGAUACGGGAGUGCUAGUUUACUAGAACUUAGAGACAGGUGCUGCACGGCUGUCGUCAGCUCGUGUCGUGAGAUGUUGGGUUAAGUCCCGCAACGAGCGCAACCCUCGUGAUUAGUUGCUAACAGUUCGGCUGAGCACUCUAAUCAGACUGCCUUCGUAAGGAGGAGGAAGGUGAGGACGACGUCAAGUCAUCAUGGCCCUUAUGGCCAGGGCUACACACGUGCUACAAUGGCUAGGACAAAGAGACGCGAUACUGCGAAGUGGAGCAAAUCUUAAAACCUAGUCUCAGUUCGGAUUGGAGUCUGCAACUCGACUCCAUGAAGCUGGAAUCGCUAGUAAUCGUAGAUCAGAUAUGCUACGGUGAAUACGUUCCCGGGUCUUGUACUCACCGCCCGUCACACCAUGGGAGUUGAAUUCACCCGAAGCCGGAAUACUAAACUAGUUACCGACCACGGUGGGUUCAGCGACUGGGGUGAAGUCGUAACAAGGUAACCGUAGGAGAACCUGCGGUU